UAGAAAAGUUCCUAUUGCUUUUCUCUUCUUCACCUCCUUCCCUUUGCCAUAUAAGAGCCCUCUCUUAAGGCUAAAAAGGCAAUAAAACAAGCCCAAAACAUGUAUAGAUGAUUGGGUCACAAUUCACAGGCUCCUCCUUUCUUUUGCCUCUUCUCGAUCUCUAUCCAAUUAAUUAGAGCCCUUUCACUCUCUAAUUAAGGGACAGCAUGAGUGAGCAUGAUCACCAUCAUGAGAACAAGCAUGAAGGCCAUGAUGAUCAUGAUCAUCAUGAUCACCCCAUCAAGGCAUGUUGUUGUUGCGUAUGCUAUGCGUUCUCGUCCAUCACUAGAGGGGUAGGGAGGUGCCUCUUCGUGGCCUGUUACCCCGUGUUGCGGUGUUGUGGCCUCGAUGAGUACAAGCACCGCCACGCCGACCACCACCGGAGACACUUCCGAUGACGACGAUCGAUCGAUCGGAUUCAAAUUUGGCGACGAAUCGAUACUGUUAUCUUCUUUUCCUCUUUCUUUUCUUUCUGUCUUCUUUUUUUUUAUAUUUUUUUUUUUCUGGAGAAAUAUCCGUCGAUGCUGUUAAUAUCAUCGCGAUGGAUCUUCUGCGAAACUGUAAUGAAUUGGAUUAGGUUUCAUUUGGUAUUAGAAUGAAUUGUGAAAUGAUGAACAACAUGGGGUUAGGGGAUGGUAAUUGCAUGUGAUCUGCAUCCCAUUUUAGUUGAGUCCUUUUGUUUUUUUGUUUUUUUUUCUUUUGGGUGGUAGGUUGAGGUGUCAUUGUAUACCCAUCCUGCACUCAAAAGACUAUGGAAGUUUUAAGUUUCAACAUUUUGGAAUAUAAGCAGCACGUGUGGUUUGAAUCUUUA
This is a long non-coding RNA of Ananas comosus (pineapple), 850 nucleotides long. RefSeq lists it as uncharacterized. The record is from RefSeq and is a predicted model, not a curated record. The transcript has 2 exons. NCBI's taxonomy places the organism in Eukaryota, Viridiplantae, Streptophyta, Magnoliopsida, Poales, Bromeliaceae.